This 253-nucleotide ribosomal RNA is filed under the name uncultured bacterium. RNAcentral describes it as "partial 16S ribosomal RNA". It matches the Rfam family "Bacterial small subunit ribosomal RNA", at positions 524 to 776 of the family's 1533-position model. The record is from RNAcentral.
UACGUAGGGUGCAAGCGUUACUCGGAAUUACUGGGCGUAAAGCGUGCGUAGGUGGUUUGUUAAGUCUGUUGUGAAAGCCCCGGGCUCAACCUGGGAAUGGCAAUGGAUACUGGCAGGCUAGAGUGCGGUAGAGGGUAGUGGAAUUCCUGGUGUAGCGGUGGAAUGCGCAGAUAUCAGGAAGAACACCCGUGGCGAAGGCGGCUCUCUGGAACGCAACUGACGCUGAGACGCGAAAGCGUGGGGAGCAAACAGG